RNAcentral lists this ribosomal RNA (253 nucleotides) under uncultured bacterium. RNAcentral describes it as "partial 16S ribosomal RNA". It matches the Rfam family "Bacterial small subunit ribosomal RNA", at positions 524 to 776 of the family's 1533-position model. The record is from RNAcentral.
GACGGAGGAUGCAAGCGUUAUCCGGAAUGAUUGGGCGUAAAGCGUCCGCAGGUGGCAGUUCAAGUCUGCUGUCAAAGACCGGGGCUUAACUUCGGAAAGGCGGUGGAAACUGAACAGCUAGAGUAUGGUAGGGGCAGAGGGAAUUCCUGGUGUAGCGGUGAAAUGCGUAGACAUCAGGAAGAACAUCGGUGGCGAAGGCGCUCUGCUGGACCAUAACUGACACUCAGGGACGAAAGCUAGGGGAGCGAAUGGG